Octopus sinensis (East Asian common octopus) is the source of this 126-nucleotide long non-coding RNA. RefSeq lists it as uncharacterized. The record is from RefSeq and is a predicted model, not a curated record. The transcript is spliced from 3 exons. NCBI's taxonomy places the organism in Eukaryota, Metazoa, Mollusca, Cephalopoda, Octopoda, Octopodidae.
AUGCUCUGAUGCAGUACCAGGCAAUGGCUCUCAUGGCUUCUGAUUUAACUAAUUGAAGUGUUAUGUACAUCGUUCUGUCUUGGUAUAAAAGAUGUACUACAGCAAAUAUUCUGCACAAUACCACAG